CUCGCCGUCAGAAGCACUCUGCUUGCUGUGCUCACCCCUCAGCUGUGGCCACCCUGGUGCCACUCCUUCCCUGGCCACCAUGUCACGGCAGCUCAACAUAGACGCGUUACGGCAGAACUUCUGGAAGGAGGAAUAUCUGAGGGAAAAGAUGUUGCGCUGUGAAUGGGGCGGUACCGCUACCUCAACACUCGAAAACUGGACAUGCCAGAGACGCGAUACCUCUUCCCCAUCACCACCAGCUUCACGUAUGGCUGGCAGCUGGGCCCCCCAGUGAAGCAAGAACUGGUCUCCUGCAAGAUGUGCCGCAUUGAGUCAUUCUUCCGCAAGAACGGGGCCUUCGCACUGCUUGAUCCCCGAGACCUGGCCCUCUGACCGUGGGCCAGGUGUGGGCUUAGGGGAGGGAAGAAGAAAUAACAGGCCUCCUGGUGGGGCAAAGCUGCUGUGUGUGUCUGUGCCCCUCUGCUCUCCCUGUCCCUGAGGUUGCAUUCAGGCCUUUCUGAAACUAUCAGACCUGCAAGUUGCCCUCUUGCUUUUUCCGUAACCCUCAUCACUUUAAUCAUCCCUUUGAGGACUCAGCAAUGACCAGAGGGUGCUGGGAAGGGCGAGCACUACUUCGCAGGCACGGGAUCCUCAGCACCAGGGGAACACAGUAGUUCCAGGAAGUUCUGGGUGUUCCUGGGGAGAGAGCGGCUUGUCAUUUCGGAGGCCAGGGAAAGGGGCCUCCUGCCACCGCCACACCCCUCCUUGCCCGCCCCUCACCUGGCCCCGAGGGCCCGCAGCCGCUCCGUCCUCUCCCGAUGCAUUUGCUCCAGCUGCUCCCGCAGGGCGCGCCGCCGCCCAGCCGCGUCCUCCUGGCGGUGCGGAGCGCUGAGCGUCCGCGG
This 881-nucleotide long non-coding RNA is filed under the name Homo sapiens (human). RNAcentral describes it as "long non-coding RNA NONHSAT123264.2". The record is from RNAcentral. Lineage: Eukaryota; Metazoa; Chordata; Mammalia; Primates; Hominidae.